This is a long non-coding RNA of Fundulus heteroclitus (mummichog), 2883 nucleotides long. RefSeq lists it as uncharacterized. The record is from RefSeq and is a predicted model, not a curated record. NCBI's taxonomy places the organism in Eukaryota, Metazoa, Chordata, Actinopteri, Cyprinodontiformes, Fundulidae. The transcript is spliced from 4 exons.
UCUUUUAGGGCGGGUCUAAUUUUGCACACAAUAUGUAAAUGGUCUUUAUUGGUGGUCCUCGUGGAGAUCUUGCCUAACAAGCUAUUCACAAACAUGCAAAUUGUAGCUCUGCAACGCGGUGCUGUCCAGUGACUUGUGCUCAGGAGCCGACCCGGAGAAGUCUGGCAUCUGAACGGGCUUUUUCGGAUUCUCGGGGACGUACUGCUUGCACAAGGAGACAAUGGAUCUGCUGUUUCCUGCAGCCCCGUCUCUGAGAUUGCGUGCUGGUAUUUGAAUCCAGGCACAAUACCUUCUCCUGCGCCGCUUUUGAUCACCGCUGCACCUGUGCGAUAACGUGCCGGCCAAAGGGGAGCGGGGGAUGCACAGCUGCUCACCUGCAAAAGGUCAGCCGUGGACGUGCGGCCGUAAAUUUGCAUUUUCUGAAGUCAGGAGGGAAGCUUCAUUACCUCAAAGUCAAAUGCUGCAGAGAGCCGGGCCGCCUGAAGACAUGCUAUGUAAAUCUGGGCUGUUUAUGAAAGUUAUGCACGGCAGCUUUCCAGCCUCCCAACAGGGCGUGGCUUACUCUCUGGUAGUAAAAAGUUUCUCUCAACAUCUCACUCCUCUCAGCUGAGUGCCGAGCUCACAGGAAAUCUGACUGCUCAUAGCUGAACCAUGACCACGGUGACUGUAGAGUACUGUAAAGACUGAAGCUACGCCUACCGCUACCAUGAGUUAGCCGGCGUCCUCCGGCAGAUUCCCGGAGUGAAGGUGAAAGGAGUCACCGGGAGGCCAGACAGCUUUGAGGUGUCCCUGGGGGAUGAACUCAUCUACUCAAAGCUGGAGAAGAACAGCUUUCCAGAUGCCGAGGAGAUGGCAAAGGUGGUGAGGGAGAAGCUUCCUGAAGGAGGCGCCAAGACAAAGAGAAGCAAAUGCUCGGUCCAGUAGGAGGUGGAGAAACGAUGUGCACACCGGCAAAAAAAAAGGAGAGAUUUGUUCUCUGGCCUAUUGGGCACUUCCUGAUGAAAAUAUGAAAAUCAGCCUAAAGAUUUUUGACAGCUGGUCACAAGGCCUCUGUGUGCCCAAACGAAUGAAUCUGAUCUGGCUUUCAUCGUGAAUCCAAACGGGUUGGAGCAGUUCUAGGGAUCCGGCUGCUGAUCGGCGCUUCUUUUUAUGACUGCACACGCCUAAAACCCGCGUGGCGUGUGCACGAUGCCAGUCGAGAAGCUUUUCGGCCGCCUGGAUUCGGAGGAUCUGCUUCAAUCCCAUCAAAAUGAUUAGAAAUGACAGGGGGUGGGGGAAAAAAAAAAGCUCUGUUAAGAUUUGUAUGUAUUUUGGGUUUCUUUGUUUAGGUCACUAAACGGAUACUUGGGUCUGUGUGGGAGUUUUAAUCGUUCCUUCGAGUCUACAUUCAAGACUCUUGGGACGUUUAAUUUAAUAUUUGCCUGACAUGUUUGAUGUUCCAUGGUCUAAAAUAUCUAAUAUCCGUUUUCCGCUGUCAAAAGAUGAUUACGGAGCAGCAAUAAAAACAUAAAAGCUGCGGUCAUUAUUAGAUUUCAUAUUUAUCUGAGUUUGGGGUUUGAAUCUAACCUCCCAUCUGACCCACUUGUGUUCCCACAGUAGCCUACCCACCAAAAAUAAGCUGCAGAGCUGAAAAAAAACCACAAAACAUGUUUUUCAGAUAGUGUCAUACGCCACUUGGGAACAGGGAAGCCUGGGAACAUAAGAGCAACCACCCCCUCUGAUAAACAUAACUUUUUAAUAGCACACGCAUUAAGCAAUAAUAUUUAACACAUGUACUUUUCUUUGAUCAAUUAGAUGGACACCAUUUAUUUGUGUGAAGCAGCGUUUAGCUUAACUAACCUGGUAAAUAUUUCUUUAAUAGACCCCCUACAUAACAGUUCUUGCAAGACAUAAAAUGAAGUAGAUUUUUAAAGUCUAGAUUAAAAUAGAAAUAUGCUUUAUUAUCCCACAGUGGGGAAAUAUAGGUGUCCAAAGAUAUAAUUUUCUUUGGACGCAGACUUUAUUAUGCUAAGCUACGCUAACUUACUACUAGUUGCAGUUUUCUUUUGGGGGGUUUUCUCCUUGAGUUACUGUCAAAUAUGAUAUAGCAGUUGAUUGAAUAUGUCAAACCUUUCUUUGGGAUGUUUCCUUUUUUGUUAAGGGGUUUUGUUUGUUUGUAUCUGGACCAGGGGUGUGCAAACUUUUUUUUUGUCACAUGGGCCAAAAUUUUCAAGUCUAGGGAACUCGAGGGCCAAAUAACAAUAACGAAACUAAAAUACACCUGAAAAUUGUGACUUUUUUUUUUUUUACCUGCACCACAAAAUAUGAGCAUGCAAUUAAUGAAUUAAAAUCAGAUUUAGGUGCAGUAAAGUCAGCAUUUGAGUAAUAGUUAUUAAAUGUGGUGCUAUUUACUUUGAAAUUAAAGAGACUGCGAAAAGCUUGUUUUUAAAAAGAAAAAAAAGUCCAACGCUUUGUGUUGUACCUAACAUUUUCAAUUGUAAACGGAUUAUACGUUUUUUGUAAUUUGUCUAAACCAUCAACCAGAGAUGGGCCAAAUUAUUUAUGAAUUGCAGCUGAGGGGCCGCACAAAGUCAAUCCGGUGGCCACCAAAGGCCCGCAGGCCGCGCUUUGGACACCCCUGAUCUGGGCCAAGCUAUUUGCAGACUUCAUGCUAAGCUGUGCUAACUUUCUGUGAGCUUAAGGUUUUUCCUUUUUGAUGUUGGUUUAAAGUGUGAGCAUUUGAGAAAGAAAAUGUCAGAAAUGUUUUUUUUUGAAUAUUUAUGAAGAACCUCGCAUCAUGAACAAGUGUACAAUAGUGUAAAGCAACGUGAGCUCUCUUUGGAAAUUUGCAACAAUGUGCUGUUGUUACAUAUUUUAUAACAAAUAAAACGGAACUGAAUGCCA